RNAcentral lists this ribosomal RNA (497 nucleotides) under uncultured bacterium. RNAcentral's name for it is "partial 16S ribosomal RNA". It matches the Rfam family "Bacterial small subunit ribosomal RNA", at positions 28 to 507 of the family's 1533-position model. The record is from RNAcentral.
GAUGAACGCUGGCGGCGUGCCUAAUACAUGCAAGUCGAGCGAACAGACGAGGAGCUUGCUCCUCUGACGUUAGCGGCGGACGGGUGAGUAACACGUGGAUAACCUACCUAUAAGACUGGGAUAACUUCGGGAAACCGGAGCUAAUACCGGAUAAUAUAUUGAACCGCAUGGUUCAAUAGUGAAAGACGGUUUUGCUGUCACUUAUAGAUGGAUCCGCGCCGCAUUAGCUAGUUGGUAAGGUAACGGCUUACCAAGGCGACGAUGCGUAGCCGACCUGAGAGGGUGAUCGGCCACACUGGAACUGAGAAACGGUCCAGACUCCUACGGGAGGCAGCAGUAGGGAAUCUUCCGGAAUGGGCGAAAGCCUGACGGAGCAACGCCGCGUGAGUGAUGAAGGUCUUCGGAUCGUAAAACUCUGUUAUUAGGGAAGAACAAAUGUGUAAGUAACUAUGCACGUCUUGACGGUACCUAAUCAGAAAGCCACGGCUAACUACGUG